GACGAACGCUGGCGGCGUGCCUAACACAUGCAAGUCGAACGGAGCGGUUGGGAGCUUGCUUCUGACUGCUUAGUGGCGGACGGGUGAGUAACGCGUGAGUAACCUGCCUUUCAAAGGGGGAUAACGUUUUGAAAAGAACGCUAAUACCGCAUGACAUCGCGAAGCCGCAUGGUUUUGCGAUCAAAGGAGCAAUCCGCUGAAAGAUGGACUCGCGUCCGAUUAGCCAGUUGGCGGGGUAACGGCCCACCAAAGCAACGAUCGGUAGCCGGACUGAGAGGUUGAACGGCCACAUUGGGGACUGAGACACGGCCCAGACUCCUACGGGAGGCAGCAGUGGGGGAUAUUGCACAAUGGGGGAAACCCUGAUGCAGCAACGCCGCGUGAAGGAAGAAGGGUCUUCGGGAUU
This 406-nucleotide ribosomal RNA is filed under the name uncultured bacterium. Its description in RNAcentral is "bacterial SSU rRNA". It matches the Rfam family "Bacterial small subunit ribosomal RNA", at positions 28 to 424 of the family's 1533-position model. The record is from RNAcentral.